CACCUGGAACCACUGUCCUUGCCAGAGAGGGCAAAGGGAUGGUUGGAUGGGUGAGGGAAUGGGUCAGGGAGUACAAGCACCAUUAGAGUGAGUAGUGCAGCACCUGGAAAGGAAGGGGGGAGUUAAUCCAGACAAAAUCCAAGCACCUGCCCAACCUGUGAUAUUUUUAGGAACUCAGUGGUGCUGUGGUCCCCAGGAAGUAUUGCCCAGGACUAGGCAGGGGACUUCAGGCUUGGUCACCCCCAGAGCAAGUCUCUAGGGGCAGGCAGUGGGGAGGCAGCUCUGCUGGUGAGGAUGGGGUUAUUUUCUCUGCUUUAUUUUGUCUCCAGAGAUAUUCUGCCCAUUAAUCCAAACUGACUCCAUCUCCUAACUCUCUGAAGAGGUUUUCUGCUUUUUGUGGGAGGAGUUGAUGUGACUGACUUCUUUUUGAAAUGCAGCAGUGCUCUCAAGGAUAUUUCCCCCCCACUCCUGGGCUUGUGCAGGGCUGUUGAGUCCGUGUGUGCCACUGUUCUUGUCCCAGGGGGACCGAGUGACAUUUGGAACCAAACCUGGGGACUUGGGACCGAGCCCAGACCUGAUCCUGUUCAUGAACCACAAGGGCUGAAACUGUUCUGCAAGCCCAGUUUGCAGAGCAGGAGCUUUUCAAUACUCAGCACUGAGCAAAGGAAUUCAUUUCCCCUGAAAUGUUCUGGGAAGGUUCUGUGUGUGCCAGCCCUGCUUCCUCCCCAGUGUGCCAGCCCUGCUUCCUCCCCAGUGUGCCAGCCCUGCUUCCUCCCCAGUGUGCCCUCCUUUGUGCUCCUCUGCCUCAAGGCCAGGGCUGGCUGGGCACUGCCCUUGUUCAGGCAGGAGUGCCCGUGGGCAGUGGGUUUGUCAGCAGUGGGCACAGCUCCCAGGGGCUGUUCUGGCUGGGCACACGUUUGCACAGGUUACUGCAGUCCCAAGGACUUGGCUUGGGGCUUUUCAGGAAGGGCCAGAAAGACUUUCUUUUGCCACUUCUGCCAUUCCUGAAAGUGAAAUCUCUGCACUGAAACUUCUCUAAAUAAACUGUCCAAUUUUUUUAUUCCCCCCAGAGUGAAGCUCCCAAUUUUGGAUGCCAGGGUGCUGCCAGCUUUAUUUGCCCAGCUGGGCACAGUGUCUGUAGAGGUACCCAGUGUCUCCUGUCCUUGUCCUUUCUCAGUUGGGAAGUGAGUGGUCUCCUCCCCUCUGACUCUGCCCUGGUCCCCAGCACCUGCUGAUUUCAAGAGAGCAGCAUCUUAGGCCAAAGGUGUUCCUGCCCUUUCUCUGCUCCCCCCUCCACCCACGGCCCUGGCAGGGAGAGCCAGCUCUGAGCUCCCAAAUCUGCAGUGCCCAGGCAGAUGCCCCGGGGCAGCUGAGAGCUCUGCUGGGCUCACACUGGCAGCUUUGCUUCUCCAUUGGCUUGGCUGGUUCCUGUUAGGAGAAGGUUUGUUGUUUUUCCUCCACUGUAAUAAUUCAGGGAAAUCCUGAGAUAUGAUUUAAGAAAGAAAGUCAUGAACUGUUGCAAUAAAUGUGAAUCUGAGAGUGCCUAAAAGCUGUUACUGAAUUCCAUUUCCAGGGACUGUCCUGGUGGGGAUAAUCCAGAAUUGCAGCUCUGAUGUUUAAAAAGGAGCCUGUGCUACUUCUUGUUUCCUGUGCUGGGCUUUCCUUGAACAGUGCCCAGGGAGGGGAGCAGCAACAGCUUCACUUGGAAGUGGACUCUGGUUUUUGAGAACAUCCUAAGCUCAGUGUGGUUUUGGUAUCACUCAGUACUUAUUUUAUUUGCCAUUUCUCUUAAAUUGUAUACACCUUUGAAGUGCCAGCUGUGUUUUGAAGACAUUCUUACAGUUGUUUCAAGUGAAAUUUGGACUGUUACACAUUUAGAAAGAGAUGAUUUUCCUGUGAAUAAACUACUAAAACAAAGGGGGGAGUGAGGAAAGCCAAGCUCAGGAGAUAACCUUACCAACUGGUUUGGGAAGUUGUUUACCUAAAUAGCCCAAAUUGGUUUGAGCUGCAGCACAAACAGGGGGGAGAAGGAGAGGGUUUGUAUUUUGACAGUUCUUUCAGUUUUUUGCAGGGACUACUGCCAGGUUCUCUUUGAAGUCCAAACCCUAUUAGCAUGGGGAAAUGUGUGUUUGGCUUUAGAAAUAGGAGUGUGUAUUUCCCUUUGAACUAGAGGAAUGUUUCUGUGUCUUUGAAUUUUAAAUUGCACAUGAAGCAGAAAUAUGUUUGUGUUUUACAGGUUAUAUUGUCAUGAAAAUAGAAAUGCAUCAUUGGAUCUUACUCCUCUGAGGGCAAACCAGCAGCCUGAUCAUUCCUUAGUCCCUCAAACCCAGUGCCAUGAACUCAGAGGGGUGUUUGGGUGCACAUGUGGUGAGUGGUGGUGGCCCCGUGAGAUGUGAGCAGCUGGAAAUGUGUGUGUGUGUGCAGAGCUGGGCUGGAGCCCUUGGGAUUUGGCUCCCAGAUCCCCCCCAGCCUUCAGGAAAACCAGAGGACACCGAACCCUGAGUGAAGGGAGUCCCAUCUGCAGAAGGGUUUUUAGGUUGGGGAAAAGCUCCAGAACAAAGCCUGGGUUCCAAACACCUUCAGCAAAAGUCGAGGAGCACAGACCCUGAAGUCAUCAAGUUAUGGAGUUUGGUUCAAACCAUUUGCUUCUCAGUCAGUUUGAAUGAAGUGUUAAAAGGAGAACUUAAAUAAGGUUAAUUUCUGAUGGAGAACAAUGGGAAGAAGUGAAGUGGUUUAAGUUCAUUAAACAUGUUUUCUAUCAGUCCAUGGUUAUUUAAUUGAGCAUUGUUUGGAAUUGUUCUUUUUGCAUUUGUUCCUUGUGUGCUUUUCUCUAUCUAAGGGAUGGUUGGAGGUCUUUCUGAUUGGUUGGAUGUUUUUAAUGUCAGUGCUAGACUGGGGUGGACAGUCAUUGUAACAUGAUUGAGAGUUUGAUGCAUUUUAUUCUGUGUGCCCUGUUUGAUGUCUCGUGUUCAGCGAGUGCCUGGUCAGAGUUUGGCCCAAGCCUUUGUUUUUUGGGUGAAAACCCAAAGGGGAAUUGUAGCUGCAGCUUUGCCCUUGAGCUGCAGCUGGAGCCCAAGAACAAGGAAAACCUCCCUGGGGAAGGAAGGGGAGCCAGAGAAGAAAAGCAGCUGCAGCCAGAAAGGUGGGUUUGGGGGGGAGAAGAGCUGCUGGGACCCAGCAAGGGGCUCUGGAGGGCUCUGGGGGCUCUGUAGGGAAUCUGGGUCCCUAUAAUGGCUCUGGGGUCCCUAUAAUGGCUCUGGGGUCCCUAUAAGGGCUCUGGGGUCCCUAUAAUGGGUCUGGGGUCCCUCCCAUGCCCUUGAGAGGAGCUGCUGCCGCCCCAGCAGAGGCAGAGCAGUCGCUGCCCAGACCCAGAACUCCCUGAGAGCUGAACUGGGGCCGUGUGGGGCCAGAGGGGAGCAAAGGGAGGGAUUUGUUCCUAAGAAAAGAAAUAAAGUUUGGGGCAUUUUUGGGG
Pseudopipra pipra is the source of this 3472-nucleotide long non-coding RNA. RefSeq lists it as uncharacterized. The transcript has 2 exons. The record is from RefSeq and is a predicted model, not a curated record. NCBI's taxonomy places the organism in Eukaryota, Metazoa, Chordata, Aves, Passeriformes, Pipridae.